UACGUAGGGGGCAAGCGUUGUCCGGAUUUAUUGGGCGUAAAGAGCGUGUAGGCGGCCUUACAGGUCAGCUGUGAAAACUCGAGGCUCAACCUCGAGACGUCGGUUGAAACCGUAAGGCUAGAGUCCGGAAGAGGAGAGUGGAAUUCCCGGUGUAGCGGUGAAAUGCGCAGAUAUCGGGAAGAACACCCGUGGCGAAAGCGCUUUGCUAGGCCGCAACUGACACUGAGGGACGAAAGCUAGGGGAGCGAAUGGG
RNAcentral lists this ribosomal RNA (253 nucleotides) under uncultured bacterium. Its description in RNAcentral is "partial 16S ribosomal RNA". It matches the Rfam family "Bacterial small subunit ribosomal RNA", at positions 524 to 776 of the family's 1533-position model. The record is from RNAcentral.